This 497-nucleotide ribosomal RNA is filed under the name uncultured bacterium. RNAcentral's name for it is "partial 16S ribosomal RNA". It matches the Rfam family "Bacterial small subunit ribosomal RNA", at positions 28 to 507 of the family's 1533-position model. The record is from RNAcentral.
GAUGAACGCUGGCGGCGUGCCUAAUACAUGCCAGUCGAGCGAACAGACGAGGAGCUUGCUCCUCUGACGUUAGCGGCGGACGGGUGAGUAACACGUGGAUAACCUACCUAUAAGACUGGGAUAACUUCGGGAAACCGGAGCUAAUACCGGAUAAUAUAUUGAACCGCAUGGUUCAAUAGUGAAAGACGGUUUUGCUGUCACUUAUAGAUGGAUCCGCGCCGCAUUAGCUAGUUGGUAAGGUAACGGCUUACCAAGGCAACGAUGCGUAGCCGACCUGAGAGGGUGAUCGGCCACACUGGAACUGAGACACGGUCCAGACUCCUACGGGAGGCAGCAGUAGGGAAUAUUCCGCAAUGGGCGAAAGCCUGACGGAGCAACGCCGCGUGAGUGAUGAAGGUCUUCGGAUCGUAAAACUCUGUUAUUAGGGAAGAACAAAUGUGUAAGUAACUAUGCACGUCUUGACGGUACCUAAUCAGAAAGCCACGGCUAACUACGUG